Non-coding RNA from Castor canadensis (American beaver), 1500 nucleotides. NCBI's taxonomy places the organism in Eukaryota, Metazoa, Chordata, Mammalia, Rodentia, Castoridae. The record is from RefSeq and is a predicted model, not a curated record.
GGCUGGAAGCCAAAGCCCAGCUGCAGCCACUGCCCAAAGCUGAGAAAAACUGGGAACAGGAUUCUUCAUGGUCAUUUUUUCUUUUCUCACAUCCAGCCUCUGGAAGGACACUGCACCCAGCCUUGGGGGAAGAGCUCAGAUAGAAGCAUGGGUCCAGAGCAAAGGGAAGCACAGUCUUAGUAAGAAGACCCCUUGAAGGCAGAGAAGAAAAGUAGUGGAGACUCUGCUUUUGGUGAAGGAGUGGGUAUACCGGUCUAGUUAAUAACAGUGUGCCGCUUCGAGUGUUGGUAGAGAAACUUCUUCAAAUUGUCAGUCUUCAAGAAGAAUGUGAUCUAUCCCUUGGGACGCUGAGACAGGAGGAUCUCGAGUUCUAAGCCAGCCUGGACAACAUAAGGAGACUCUGUCUUAUUAAAAAGAGAAUGUUUAUCCUGUUUCCAUUUCUAUCUAUACCAAAAGCAUAUUGUAAAUGUACUGUCUGGGUUUUAUAAUGGGAGUGUUUAAUGUGAAUAUAAAUACUUCUUUAAAAGGCAAAUUUUAAUGUGAAUGAUCCUUGGAGGAAACCAAUGCAUUUCAGUUACGUAAAUUUUUUGAAUGGCAAUUUGAAUUCUUUUUACCCAUAAGUUUUUUUUUUUCUCUGAAAUUAAAAUGUUCCAAUAGUACUUAGAAGGGAUAGAUUAAUGUUUGCUUUUUCAAAGUGAUGAUAGUUGUCUUGAAAAGCUUGGUUGUUUUUUCAACAGUUGCCUGUGUUUACCUCCAGUACAACUGUGAGAUACCGCUCAUGCAGGACCUACAUCAACGCUUUUGUCAGCUUUCUUGACCAAAUUCAUAGGUCAAGAAAUUGAACCUUGCCAGCUCUGCCAGGAACUCUUCUCAGCACAUUCCCUCCCUUUCCUGUCCUGGAUAAAGAACUCUUGAGUCACAACGCUCUUUUUAUUACGCGUCGGUAAUGGUAAUGGCUUCCUGGCCACACUAGAACAAAAGUUGGCUUUAUAACAUUUGACAGCAGAAUUCAUUUCUACAGUCUUCAAGAAGGUCUCUCCCAACCACAGAUGCUAAUAGUUUCAGACAUUGAAGGUAUGUGUUUCACUCUUACAUUUAUUGAUCUGCCUUAGGAAUUUUCUAUUUUAGAAAUAGUUCAUGACCAUUUGCCAAAUUAGCAGUGUAUGGUAUGAGUCUAUGAAGGAAAAUCUUGACUACAAAGUCAUUAGUUUGUUGGAGUUGUAAGAGUCCUUCAACCCAAUCUCUGUUUUGGAAAAGAGGUAACAGGUUUGGAGGUAAAGUGAAUUCUGAAUAACAAAACAAAAUCGAGCUAAUGUUAGAAUUUGGAUUAAAUUUAGAAUCUCUUUCCUGUUCUUCCCAUUCGUUCAUUCACUCAAAAAUUAUUUGAGGGCUGUCGAUGUAGAAUGCUUGAUUAACAUGCAGAAGACUCUGUGUUUAGCUGGGAACCAGUGGCUCACAUCUUUAAUCCUAGCUACUUGGGAGGCUAGCCCAGGCAAAUAG